This is a small nucleolar RNA of Gadus morhua (Atlantic cod), 127 nucleotides long. Ensembl annotates it as small nucleolar RNA SNORA77. The record is from Ensembl. Lineage: Eukaryota; Metazoa; Chordata; Actinopteri; Gadiformes; Gadidae.
GCAGACAAUACUCUGUUCUUUACUGUCACUCCAGUCUGGAACUUUUUGUGUCUGCUAGAUAAAUGUCAGAAUAUAUCCACUACUGGCUUUUUCUGAAAAGCUGGAUCGGCUAUGUUCUGCCACAUGU